GAGGGUAUAGCUCAAGUGGUAGAGUACAUGAUUAGCAUGCACAAGGUCCUGGGUUCAAUCCCCAGUACCUCCU
Molecule: transfer RNA, 73 nt
Filed under: Camelus bactrianus (Bactrian camel)
Lineage: Eukaryota; Metazoa; Chordata; Mammalia; Artiodactyla; Camelidae
Also listed under: 2 other names
Rfam family: tRNA
About the family: Transfer RNA (tRNA) molecules are approximately 80 nucleotides in length.
Source: Rfam by way of RNAcentral